This 408-nucleotide ribosomal RNA is filed under the name uncultured bacterium. Its description in RNAcentral is "partial 16S ribosomal RNA". It matches the Rfam family "Bacterial small subunit ribosomal RNA", at positions 28 to 526 of the family's 1533-position model. The record is from RNAcentral.
GACGAACGCUGGCGGCGUGCUUAACACAUGCAAGUCGAACGGAGUGGCGAACGGGUGAGUAACACGUGGGUGACCUGCCCUUCACUUCGGGAUAAGCCUGGGAAACUGGGUCUAAUACCGGAUAGUGUGGGAUGGGGCCGGGGCCUAUCAGCUUUUUGGUGGGGUAAUGGCCUACCAAGGCGGCGACGGGUAGCCGGCCUGGGAGGGUGGAAGGCCACAUUGGGACUGAGACACGGGCAAGACGCAUACGGGAGGCAGAAGUGGGGAAUAGUGCAAGAUGGGCGGAAGGCUGAUGCAGCGACGCCGCGUGGGGGAUGACGGGCGUCGGGUUGUAACGUCCUUUCACCAGCGACGCGGUAGAUGGAGAAGAAGAAACGGCUAACUACGUGCCAGCAGCCGCGGUAAUUC